Long non-coding RNA from Dalotia coriaria, 260 nucleotides. RefSeq lists it as uncharacterized. NCBI's taxonomy places the organism in Eukaryota, Metazoa, Arthropoda, Insecta, Coleoptera, Staphylinidae. The record is from RefSeq and is a predicted model, not a curated record. The transcript is spliced from 3 exons.
CCGCAUGUGUCCCGCGCGCUGUCUUCUAGCGCCGCAUCAACUUGCAGCAUGCAGCGAAGUCCAGUUUAGUUUAGAUCACAGUUACAGCACUCGUUGUGCCUGGUAGUCCGAUAAGCUGUAGGUACAUUGGUUUGCACAGAAAAUAAAUGUUGUUUAAAAAAGUGAGAAACAAUUUUUUAAACAUAUAAAAAACUUAAUGGAAAUUGAAAUCGGAAAAUUGUUAUAUUUAAUACACAUUUAUUACCUCUUCGCCGAAGAUA